AAUAAGAUGACCCUUUAACUAGGGUUGAUGAUUUGUUUGACCAAUUGAAGGAAGCAUUUUACUUUUCUAAGAUAGACUUGAGAUCUAGAUACCAUCAAUUAGAUAUCAGGUCUGAAAAUGUACCUAAGACGACCUUUGGGACCCGACAUGAAUAGUGUGACUUCUUAAAGAGAUGCCUUUCUGAUUGAGUAAUGCACUUAUAGCAUUUAUGGAUAUUAAAAAUAGGAUGUGUUCUUAUGCAAUAUGGAAAACUGAUAGCAUAUGCUUAUAGACAACUUAAGACCUACGAAUUGAGAUAUCCUACUCAUGACCUAGAAAUUAACUGCUGUAGUAUUUGCCAUAAAGAUCGGAUAACAUUACUUGUAUGGUGAGAAAUGUGAGAUAUUUACAGAGUUUAAAAUACUUGUUUACUCAAAAAGAGUUAAAUAUGAGACAAGUGAGAUGGUUAGAAUUGAUAAAAGACUAUGACUAUAACUAGCACCCAGGGAAAGCAAAUGUAGUCGAUGAUGCAUUAAGUUGAAAAGAAAGAAUCAAUGUUUAUGUCUUUAUCAAAGCAAUUGAUUAAGGAAAUGGAAAAGUUAGGAUUAAAAAUUUAGAGUUUAAAGCAUAAGGAGGGAAGGAUCUAUGAGAUGUUAGUGCAGCCAGAGUUAAUAGAAAAAGAAACUACGUGGGAAUUAGAAGAUAAAAUGAGAAAAAAAAAAAAAAACUACUCAGAGUUGUUCAACACCAAUCGGGAUUCCGAGGACGGAAUCCUAUAAGGAGGGAAGAAUGUAACACCCGUGAAAUCUACAAGUAUGAUUAUUUAAUUUAAUUAGUUAUUGUGUAAAAAGACUAUUUUAUUAGUCUCAUUUUUAUAUUUAUAAUGUGAGAAGUAUUAAUUAAAAAUAUUAUAGCUUCGGGAAAUGCUAGAAAACACGUGGGGUCAUAUUGUGUGAGCUAGUCAUUAGUUUAAAUAUGUAUAUACGCGAGAGCUGAGUUUAUACGAAACAUAUAGUAAACGUGAAUAUUUAUUUAACAAGUCGUGAAUGAAUAUUACGUAUUAACCGAGACGAUUAUAUUAAUUUUAAAAUUUGGGGAUUGAUCUUGAAAAUAUUAAAUAUUUUAGUUAUUCAAUUAUUCUGUACGAUAUUAUGUUCGUGAUUAUUAAAAACCGAUACGAGAAUAAUAGAAAUCGAGAGUUUUUAAUUAUGCGAAGCGUUGCUUGGGAUGCAAGCAACAUUACUUGGUUGCGAAGUAAUGUUAAUUGGCGUCCAAGUAAUCAUAUAAUUAAUAAUUAAUAAUUAAUUAAAUGGUAAUUAAAGAGAUAAUUGUGAUUAGUAAAUAGUAUAAAAGCCAAAGGAAUAAAUCAAAUAUCACCGUUCUUGCACAAAACUAGAAAAGAGGUUCUGAGGAGAAGAGAAUCAGCAGGAGAGAUUUGGAGUCGCAGAAGGAAAACAAAUCAAAUACUAAGAAAAUUGAUUAGCUGGAAGGCGUGCUUGUUAGUCAACUUAAAUUGGAACGUGGUGCACUGGAAGAACUCUGGAGAAGGAUAUUCAUGCAAGGGUAAAAGUGUGAUGAACCGAAGUGCUAGACUUGAUUGGAUUUGCAAGUAGAAGUUUAAUAGAAGUAUUAUGUAAUCGAAAGAAAUAUUUGUGAACUUUUAGAAGAGUGAUGUAAGACUCUGAUGUAAGGUAAAAUAAGCCUUUAAGUUAUGUUAAAGUUUGAGAUUAUGAAGAUGUA
Long non-coding RNA from Daucus carota subsp. sativus, 1719 nucleotides. RefSeq lists it as uncharacterized. The transcript is spliced from 3 exons. NCBI's taxonomy places the organism in Eukaryota, Viridiplantae, Streptophyta, Magnoliopsida, Apiales, Apiaceae. The record is from RefSeq and is a predicted model, not a curated record.